Molecule: ribosomal RNA, 497 nt
Filed under: uncultured bacterium
Lineage: Bacteria
Description: partial 16S ribosomal RNA
Rfam family: Bacterial small subunit ribosomal RNA
Source: RNAcentral
GAUGAACGCUGGCGGCGUGCCUAAUACAUGCCAGUCAAGCGAACAGACGAGGAGCUUGCUCCUCUGACGUUAGCGGCGGACGGGUGAGUAACACGUGGAUAACCUACCUAUAAGACUGGGAUAACUUCGGGAAACCGGAGCUAAUACCGGAUAAUAUAUUGAACCGCAUGGUUCAAUAGUGAAAGACGGUUUUGCUGUCACUUAUAGAUGGAUCCGCGCCGCAUUAGCUAGUUGGUAAGGUAACGGCUUACCAAGGCGACGAUGCGUAGCCGACCUGAGAGGGUGAUCGGCCACACUGGAACUGAGACACGGUCCAGACUCCUACAGGAGGCAGCAGUAGGGAAGCUUCCGCAAUGGGCGAAAGCCUGACGGAGCAACGCCGCGUGAGUGAUGAAGGUCUUCGGAUCGUAGAGCUCUGUUAUUAGGGAAGAACAAAUGUGUAAGUAACUAUGCACGUCUUGACGGUACCUAAUCAGAAAGCCACGGCUAACUACGUG